This 226-nucleotide ribosomal RNA is filed under the name uncultured bacterium. Its description in RNAcentral is "partial 16S ribosomal RNA". It matches the Rfam family "Bacterial small subunit ribosomal RNA", at positions 524 to 749 of the family's 1533-position model. The record is from RNAcentral.
UACAGAGGUCUCAAGCGUUGUUCGGAUUCAUUGGGCGUAAAGGGUGCGUAGGCGGCGCGGUAAGUCGGGUGUGAAAUCUCGGAGCUUAACUCCGAAACUGCAUUCGAUACUGCCGUGCUUGAGGACUGGAGAGGAGACUGGAAUUUACGGUGUAGCAGUGAAAUGCGUAGAGAUCAUGAGGAAGACCAGUGGCGAAGGCGGGUCUCUGGACAGUUCCUGACACUGA